AUACGAAGGGGGCAAGCGUUGUUCGGAAUAACUGGGCGUAAAGCGCACGUAGGCGGAAUGUUAAGUUAGAGGUGAAAUCCCAGGGCUCAACCCUGGAACUGCCUUUAAUACUGGCAAUCUAGAGACCGAGAGAGGUGAGUGGAAUUCCGAGUGUAGAGGUGAAAUUCGUAGAUAUUCGGAGGAACACCAGCGGCGAAGGCGGCUCACUGGCUCGGUACUGACGCUGAGGUGCGAAAGCGUGGGUAGCAAACGGGAUUAGAUACCCUUGUAGUCC
This 274-nucleotide ribosomal RNA is filed under the name uncultured bacterium. RNAcentral's name for it is "partial 16S ribosomal RNA". It matches the Rfam family "Bacterial small subunit ribosomal RNA", at positions 523 to 796 of the family's 1533-position model. The record is from RNAcentral.